UCCGGGUUAGUCCCGGCAGUCCGAGCAGAUCAUGCAACUGCCCGCGGGGGUUGCGCUCGUUGCGGGACUUAACCCAACACCUCACGGCACGAGCUGACGACAGCCAUGCAGCACCUGUGCACCCCGCCCUUGCGGGCACCUCGCGUUUCCGCGAGCUUUGAGUGCAUGUCAAGCCCUGGUAAGGUUCUGCGCGUUGCGUCGAAUUAAACCACAUGCUCCGCUGCUUGUGCGGGCCCCCGUCAAUUUCUUUGAGUUUUAACCUUGCGGCCGUACUCCCCAGGCGGAUGACUUAACGCGUUAGCUGUGCCAUCGAAACUCCAUGAGCCCCGACAGCUAGUCAUCAUCGUUUACGGCGUGGACUAC
Molecule: unclassified non-coding RNA, 363 nt
Filed under: uncultured bacterium
Lineage: Bacteria
Description: contains 16S-23S intergenic spacer region
Source: RNAcentral